AGGGGAGCGCAGCGCGGGAACAAGGAGCCUCCUGGGAAACUGAGGGAGAGGCGGGAGCAUGCGCACUAGGCUAAGGAACCCGAGAGGCGCGUGUGACUGGAAAUCCCUUCAGAGGUCGCCGUGGACCCAGCGGGGAGCGGGACCUGGUGCUCCCGCGGCCCGAGAUGUGACCCCAGAGUCCGCUCCGCCGGCCGCAGUUCCCCCCUCACACGGGAGGCCGCGGAGGGAGGCUGAGGACCCGCUGCGCAGCCUCCUUGUCCCUCCUCAGGGUCGUGGUGGACUCUCCGUCUGUCCAGGUGGGUUGGGGUCCGGGGGUCUCUGGGAGGGUCCUGAGAUGUCGCCUUGGAGACUUGGUUUCUGGGCGCGACCGUGCUCCCGGCGUGUCGCGGAGACCCCUCCUGGUGCCUGCGGUGUAGACGGCGUGACCUGGAGGCCUAGAGGGUGGUGGGUGGUGGGUGGCCCGGCCCCCGCGGUCCUCCGCACUGACCCGGGCAGGGCGUCCUGGCCCUGGGCAGGGGGAGAAGCGCGGACGAGAGCCGGCUCGACCCCGCCAGGGCGACCUUGGGGACUCGCUGUAGCUGUGAGCAGGACACGGGCGACGCCACCUCUCAGGCUGGGCAGAGGCCAGCACAGCUCCGGGGUCUCUAAGGGACGGUUUGGCGGUGGCGGGUGAGGAGGGGAGGGGGAAAGGGUGACAGCAAUGUCGUGGAGACGGACAGGUGGACAGUUUUGUCCUCUAUAAAACAGUCAACACUCCGUGUCGCAGGCUCCACCCUGGACAGUGAGGACACAGGGGAAGACCCCUGGCCAGGAGUCCCCGUGUCCUCUGGGAGUCCCCUGCUGUUCCUGGUCUGUCCCGAGAGUCCAGGCGCUGAGCAAGCGUCGGACACUAGGUGGCGCCAAACAGGCGCGGGCUCCUUUAGGUCCCUGGUGUCCUGACACCGUCCAUGGGUCCGUUUCCACUGCUGAGUUGUCACAUUGUCACCUCUCACCGUGUCACUCAGCUGCCCCGAGACCCUCCUACCUGAGAUGAAGGCCUGCUUCAGGAGAUGGUCCGCCGCCUUCUGCAGUUGCGUCCCCAUGAGUCCCCCAAACUUCCAAGGACAUCUGUCAACCUGUCCCACCUGGUGCUUGCUCCCUGUGCUUAGUGUCAUUUCCCCCUGUUGGACGUGCUGAGCCGCGCAUUGGACACCAGGUGGCGCCAGAGCUGCGGGUAAACUCUCCUUGAAGCCACAGCCUUGGGCUCUGUGCUCAUCAGCCUGGUUCCUGGAAAACCUUCAGGAUUCCUCUUAAGAGCAGCAACUAGUUUUAGUGUAACUCAGUGAAUUUGAUGCAUGGGAUGAAUUUUCCCGCCAGGAAAGGGAGGAUUAUUACACUCUGCCCAGAGUGUUUUGGGUCCAUCUUCUUGGAAAGCAAAAUACACAAUGAGAUCCCCAAGUGAGAUGAGGGUCUGAAUUCAGCCUUGACCUCUCCCUACAACUGUCAUUACCGGGAGGCUUCUGGAAUCUCUGCCAAUGUUGGGGGCAUUUUCUUCUCUUUUUUGGGUUCUGAUUUUCAUAAGCCAUGAAAUAGAAUUCAAUCAGAAGCAUCCCCACUGAUGAGUCCCAGUUAGUGUUCUACUAAACUAAUACAACAUAAAGAUCAAGUAAUGUGCUCUGGUUUCUAGAAAAGAGUCUCAAUUCAAAUGUGUGAGCCUGUGUAUUGCUUGCUACCUGAGAAGAGAUCAUAAAAUAAAAUUGC
Molecule: long non-coding RNA, 1740 nt
Filed under: Marmota monax (woodchuck)
Lineage: Eukaryota; Metazoa; Chordata; Mammalia; Rodentia; Sciuridae
Source: RNAcentral